Molecule: long non-coding RNA, 7737 nt
Filed under: Gossypium barbadense (sea-island cotton)
Lineage: Eukaryota; Viridiplantae; Streptophyta; Magnoliopsida; Malvales; Malvaceae
Description: long non-coding RNA (GBAR_LNC006791)
Source: RNAcentral
AAGCUUAUAACGAUACCUACUUCAUCUUCAUUUCCUUCAGGGAAAGCAUCACCAGUGCUGCCAAAAACCACCUUCUUCUCUAAGUACUUCGACACUGAGGUGUUAACGUUCAACACGUUUCCGACAUCGGAGUACAGUAGUGUGAUUAAAAGUGUUGGAACGGGGUCGGUUUUGUUUUUCAUACGAAGAAGACGAAGGUUUUUGUCCCUGAGCGAAUCAAAUAAUUGUUUGAAACCGUCGUUUCCGACACGGGGACAACCGAACACGAAGGCGGUCACCAUGAACGUCGCGUUGCUUGUGGUGGGCUUGUUGUAUUCAUUGGCAACUAUGUCCAUUGCGGUCAAUGUUGCUAGUGCUCCGCCUAGGCUAAAGCCUGUUACGGUUAUGCUUAGUUCUUCAUGUUUGUACUUGUUCACUAGUUUCUUUACAGCAGCUAGGACCUGCAGAAGGGCAAGAAAUGGGUCAAGAAUUUUAUAUUAGUCGAGUUAGUAAUUGAUUUGAAACUUUAAAAAAUUAAAUUAAAAUCUUAUUUAUAAUAAGAUUGAAUUCCAAAUAAUGCUUUUAAAAAUUGAAGUAGACAUCAAAUCGAUUAAAUUAUUAAUUUUGUAUUUUAAUUUAACUGUCGAUUCAAUAAUAAUUAAAUAAAUAAUUAUAAAAAAUAAUAAAAAAUAAAAUAUUUAUAAAUUUAUAAAUUGGUUUAACUUGUUUAACUAUUAAAUUUUUUGUCUCAAGUUUUCAAUUUUUUUAUCUUCAUAAGGGGCUUGAUUUAUAUUUGAAUUUAUGCCACCGAUUGAACCGUUCAACCGACCAGUUUGCAUUAGCAAAAUUGAAAAUAGGAAAUUUUUCAUUUAACCUCCUUUAUAAUUUAUAAAAUUUUAAAUUAAUAAUAAAAUUACAAUUUAGUAUCCAAAAUGAUAAAAAAUUAAUUUAAUUUUUUAAAAAUAAUAAAGAAACAAACAAUUAAAAUGAUGAAAUUAUAAUUUUACUAUCGUAAAAAUGUCCAAUUUAAUUCCGACCUCUCAAAAAACUUUUUGACUUCGCCUCUACUAGUCUAGUUAGAUUUUUAACAUCACUAAUUUGAACACAUUAAUUUAAAAAAUCAAAAUAAUAAAAUAAACAUUUUAGAAUAAUAAAUUUAUUUGAUAAUUUACUGUUAAAAUAAUUAAAUAGUUUCUAUAAAAUUGGGAAGUUUUUUAAAAAUUUUAAUUUGAGUUUUAAAAAUUUGACUUUAAAAAAGAAUUAAAUAACUAAAUAUUAAAAAAAAAUCGAUAUUUUCGACAAUUACCUGCUCUCUAGCACUAGUUUUGCUAUGAAUAGAAUCCGGUACCGUCCCAAUAUAAAGCGAGUGGAAACCACUGUGCACUAAAGCAUUGUAUUCAGCGGCAGUCGGGAACAAGUCGGAAGGUGAUACCCGCCGAACCAAUAAAUCACCGACCCAUUCCGAUAGCGUUCCGGUCCCUCUCCAAGCAACCAAAACAUCCCUCCGUCCCAGUACUUGCUUCCCUUCAUCGGUGCUCACCGCCACAAAUCCGAUCCAUGCCGACUUAACAAUGUCCGAGCCAGCAUAAAUGAAGUCAGUGACCUCGUACUUGUAGGGGUUUCCUUUUAUGAGACAAGCCUCGGUGAAAAACUUUUCUUUCGAGGUUUUAGGACCGUAAGUGUUAGGGUCGAAGAGGUCUCCGGCAGCUGAAGUCCUUUGACCAUAGUGAAUUAUAUACUGACGGAGAUCAGUGUCUACUGGAUGUAGUAGACCUUCCCAUUCGUUCUCCCCACUGAGUUCUCUCCAACGAGUUGCUAUGGAGUUGGCCAUUACUCUUUUCUUCUCUGUGUUUUACUUGUAUGCUACUGAUCAGUUGUCUCCAACGAGUUGCAAUGGAGUUGGCCAUGGUCGGGUGCUUUAUAUAGAGCAAAUCUCUCGGAUAAAGCCUAAAACGCUCAUACCAACUUUGCAAUUGAGUUCACAUCAUGUAAAACAAAAUAUUAAUUAUAAUUAUUAAACAUAAACAAAUAUAAAAAUAUUAAAUUUGAAAUCUAAAACUCUGAAAGAUUAAUAAAAAGAAAUUAUAAUUAAUAGUUAAUUUUAAGAAUGUUCAAUCAGUUUACCUGAACUAGUAUUAACCGAAUUAAUUGAUCUUUUUAAACUCUUAACGUUUAACCGAAUCGAAAUUUUUUCAAAAAAAUUUAAUCGAACUGAACUUUUUCAGUUAAUUCAGUCAAUUAACCGAUUUCGAACCAAAUUAACUGUUAACUGAAUUUUCAAAAAAUUAUUAACCGACUCCCGACCGAAUUAAUUCGAUUAACCGACCAAUUAACCUAAUUAAUUCGAUUCGAUUAAUAAAAUUAAUUUUACCCGAAAUUUACACACCCCUAUUUAACCCAGUUUAAAUAAAGUUAAUAUUAUCAUCUUUUAAUAUUUUUUUAUUUUACACCAUGAUUAUAUGUUAUUUUAUUAUUAAUUAAUAAUGUAUUGUAUAUUAAAUUUUUUUAUAUGAUGCUCAAUUUUUUUUAUUUUUUAUAUUGUUACUGUGUUAAAUUUAUGACCAAUGCAAACAACAAUAUUAUUAUUUUAAAAUUAAAAAGUAGAAAUAUAUAUUGAACAAUUUUAUUAUAGGUUAGGAUUAUAUUUGCUUUUUUUAACACAAUGACUAGAAUUACGCGUAAUCUCUCCUAAAUUCACAAAUAGAAGGAUAACACGCUUCAACGCAUUUAAAUUCACGUCCUCAUGCCUAUCGAAUUAAAACUUAAUCGGCUAAAAAAAUACAUUUAAAAGUUUAUAAAAGAUUUAUAAAUAAAAAACAAUCAAAUAUAUAUUAACAAUUCAAAAAAUUCUAAACAAAAUCCAAAAGUGAAUUUGAAUAAAUCUAAAACAAUGUUUAUAGAAAGUAAGAUUGAAACCCAAAUUUUCAAAGUUGGGAAACUUAAUUUUUACCAUAAGAUGACAUUUAAAUUUGUUUUGAAUAAAAUAACUUGACCCAAUAAAAAUACAUUAUUUAAACCAAGGUUACAUUUAAGUCUUAAUCAAAUUAACGUUUUGUUUUCAGCCUCUAAUUUGUAUAUUGAAAUUGGAUUUUCACAAAUACAAUUUGACCAUUAUAAGUCUUUUUUAUACAAAUUAAAUUAAAAAUAUAUUAAUUUUAUUUAUUGACAAGCAAUUUUAUGGAAGGUGCUGUAGAAAUUUCUCAUGAAACCCCUCGCCUAUAAAUUAAUGAAACCAUCUAUCGCCUUGCUAUUAUUUAUUUUAAGAAAAUAAAAUUAUCAGCAUUAAAAAUAAUAUAUUAUGAAUCUCAACAAUUGUAAAUAUAAUAUUGCAAAGACUAUUUAUUAGUUCUCACCAGAAGAUUGAGAGGUUAGCAAGCGGACUCGCUGAUUCAACUCUCAAGGAGAGCUUGCACAAAUUAAGGGAAGACCGCGGUCUCAGUUCGCAUAUAUACUCAAGGAGCUCGCAGAAGGGAGACCUAGUGGUUUGGCAAGCAACCCAGAGUAAAAUACGUGCCCAACAUGCCUGAAGUCCGCUCAGAAUGUCAAUCCUAAGAAUAGUAAGGUCGAGUCAUGAAUGGAGUCAUGUCGUGAACAGUAAUAAUAUAUAUAUAAAUACCCAAAUAUUCUCAGACAAAAUUACUUAACAAGAUUAAUAUGAUAUAUAUUGAAUUGGUUCAAAAAUUAAUAUGUAUGGCAAAUACAAUUAUAUCGAUAAAUUUAACACAAAUAAAUUAUUAAAAUAUUAUUAAUAGUAGAAAUGACCCCAAAAAAAUCAAUUCAUAUAUUUAGAGUCGAUAGAAUCAUAUAUAUACACAAAUAUAUGAAUUUAAAGUGUUGACAACAACCUACAAUUAAAAGAAUUAAUAAAAUUUAAGUCUAAAUAAAUCUUAAAAGUCAAUGCAAAAUAAAGAGGAUUUAAAAUUUCUAAAUAUUUAUUUAUAUAAAAAAUUUUAAUUAUAAGUAUUAAUAUAUAAAGUGUUUUAAAUCGAUACCAUACAUAUAUGUAUUGGAUUGAUUCGAAAAUUUAUAUACAUGAUAAAUAUAAUUAUAUCGACAAAUUCAACACGUUAAAUAAUUAAAAUAAAUUAUUAUUAGUUGUAGAAAGGGCCAAAAAAGGUUGUUAGAAUUAUAUAUAUAUAUGAAUUUAAAGUGUUGACAACAACGCAAAAUUAAAAGAAUGAAUAAAAUUUAAGAUCAAAAUUAAUUUUAAAAGUCAAUGCAAAAUAAAGAGGUUUUAGUAACAACAUUUUUUUUUGUCGUUAUGCAUAUAAUAGCAAAUCACAACUACAAAACAUUUAUUUAAUAUAUAUUUUUUGUCUUUCAUACUAAAAAAAUUGAAAUAAUUUAUUCUCUUUCAAUUUUAAUAUGUAAGAAAGAUUAAUUUUUGAGCAUCAAUUUCUUAUUUAUUACUUAAUUAUUUUGAGCAUAUGAUAUAUCGUUGUAAAUAUGUCAUAGGGUAAAAUAUAAAACUAUAAUUUUUUUAUUUAGAUCUCCACUUUUACUAAUCGAGAAUAUGCCUCAAAACUUCCAAAAAUCAAUAUUUUCCAACAAUGAGCAUAAUUUAUUUAGAUCAAAUUAAGUUAUGAUUUAUGCUAUUUGAACCCAAAUUUUUAAAGUUGAUGCCCUUUAACUUUUGUCAACUGACAGAUGUAUAAAGUUUACUUGAAUAAAAUAAAACAAAAUUAAUAAUUUAAUUAAAUCAAUUUUACAUUUAAUCCUCAAUCAAAUUCAAAAGUAUUUUCUUUAAUAUACAAAUUAAAAUAAAUUGAUGAGCAAAUCCAUGAAAAGUGGUGCAGAAAUUUCUUAUGAAGCCCCUCUCCCAUAAAUUGAUGACAUCAACUAUUUUAUCUAAGAAAAAUAAAAAUUAGCAGCAUUAAAUAUACAUUAUCAUAUCAGAAUCUCAACAAUUGCAAAUAUAAUACUAUGCAAUAAGAAUGAUGACCCCAAUCGGGUUGUUGUAAAGUUUUAGGUUCGUUUUUUAGGUUUUGUCUAAAAAAAUAGGUCUAAAAUUUUAUUCAAAUUUGGUCCAAAUAAAAAAUAUUAAACUCGAGUUUGAUUCAGCCCGCCUGUAUUAAAUUUUUUUAUAUUAAUUUUAAAAAAAUAAUACAUCAAAUACACUAAAAAAAUUAAAAUAAAUAUUUCCCAAUAAAUUAAAAAUACAUUAAAAAUAAGUCUUUAUACUUAAAUAACACUAAAAUAGUUGCAACUUACAAUCAAAUGCCUCUAAAAUAAUAACAAAAAUAAUAAUAAGACAAGAGUUGUACAAUAUUCAAAUAAUAAUAACAAAAUAGUAAUAAUAUAUUACCAAAAUGUUGGCAAAAAAAAAUUUGACAGAUUCAAGCCGGGCCAAACCCGAUUCGUUUAAAAAACAUAUAUUAAUUUUUGUCCAAACCUAUUUUUUGAACUUAUAUUUUACCUAAAUCCUUACACUUUUUAAGUGGGUCUUUAAACCUAAACAGAUAAUCAAACUCAUAAUCGCUAAUCUCAGUGAUAAUAAAGCUCAAAAAGUAUUUUAAUAUAAACUUUUAAGAUAUGUUCCAACUUUAUUUUUAUAUAAAUAUGAAUUUUGAAACUCUAACCUAUUAUUAAAAGAAUUAAAAAAUUUUAAAUUCAAGUCAAAGUAAAUUUUAAAAGUCAAUGCAAAACAAAGAGAAUUUACCAAUAUAUAUAUAUAUUGGUCAUUAUGUAUAUAAAAGUGGUUGGACUCUAUAAAAAAAAUUAGUUGCAUAUGCCACUGAGUUCUCUCCAACGAGUUGCCAUGGAGCUGGCCAUGGUUGGGUUCUUUAGAUAGAGCUAAUCUCUCAUUUUUUAUAAGCCUCAAAUAUUCUUACCAACUUUGUAAUUAUAUUUUUGGCUUAACCAUAAAUUUGGCCACUAACGUUUGUAUAUUUUAUCAAAAUGACUUUAAUUGUAUUUUUAAAUCUUUUUUGGUAAUCAACUUUUAUUUUUUUUCAAUAUGUUUUUCUAACAAAUUUAAUGAAAAUACCGUUAAAAAUAAUUAACGGGGAUAAUGUGAAAUUGCAUAUGUGGAAUGUUUUUAAUGAGAUGUAAUUUACUACUUAGAUAACCCAAUAAGAUAAUUAUAUGUGGAAAAUAAUAAAAUAAAUAAAUAAUAUAUUAAAUAAAAAAACUCUUAAUUCAAAGAAAAUAAACGUAAUUAUCUAAAAAAAUUAAUUUAGUAGAAAAAUUUCUCAGUAAAGAAACGUAUGAAAGAUUGAAACCUAAAAAUUAAAACCUUAAAUUUAUUCAUUGCAUCUGUUAGAAAAAUCAGAUUGAUUCAUUACAUCCGUUGGAAAAAGCAGAUUGAAAAAAAAAAGAGAAGGAUGAUGGCAAAAAAGGCUCAAAAAUACAAUUAGGGCCAUUUUGACAAAACAUGCAAAUGUUAGUGGCUAAAUUUAUCAUUAAGCUUAUAUUUAUUUAAGAGUAAACUAUACUUAAUUUCAAAAAGUUUCAAAAUAACAUCGAAUUAUUCAUUUAAGUCAUUGAACGAUUCAAAAGUUUUUAUUUAAGUGAUAAUUAAAGUGUCCUGACAACAUGAAUUAAGCGAUGGUUAAUAUUCUUGUUAGAUACCCGUUUAACACAGAUUCAAACUGUGUUACUUUUUACUCUCGUUUGUGGUCUAAGGCAAGGUUAAAUAUAGGGUCAAAAGCCUUGCCCCGUUAAAAUAGAAAAGUGUGCUUUAAUCAUUUUAAAUUUUUUAACAUACAUAUAAAUUAAUGCGUGAUAAAAUUACAUUUUAAUUCCAAAUAAAAUGUUAAUAUUAUAAUUAAAUGAAGUGAUAUUAUUGCAAACCCGUAGGUAAUAUCCAAGGACCUUUCUUUAUAUCAAAAAAUAUAUAUAUAGAAGCGUAUAAGCUUCAUUUACAACCAACAAACCCUUAGCUAAUAUCUAAGGGCCUUUAUUUAUAUCAUAUAUAUACAUAUAUAUAUAUAUUAAAACUAAAGUAGCCUUCAUGUUUGUCAUCAAAACUCAAACAACCCUCCAUCGUCCAUUAUCCAUUUGUUCCAUUUUCUUCCGAUUCUCACCAACCCACCAUUCCGUUGGAAAUCCGUAGUCAUCCUUCACACGAUCUAAAUGUUUAUUCACGAGUGGUAAAUCAUAAUCCAUUCACCCGCCGGUGUAUCUUCUGCGAUGUUUUCGAUCGCAACACCAUGCAUAUACACAUCCAUGUUGUGACAACUAUACAGAUUCUCUAUCCAUCCGCUGAUAAUUAUUUCUUGAGCUUCAUGAUCAUCUUCAUUUACCAAGCUUAUAUCGAUACCUACUUCAUCUCCAUUUCCAUCAGGGAAAGCAUCAUCAGUGAAACCAAAAAUCUUCUCCUUUAAGUACUUUGACACUGAGGUGUUAACGUUCAACACGUUUCCGACAUCGGUGUAUCCUGAUACUAAAAGUACUGGAACGAAGUCCAUUUUGUUUUUCAUACGGAGGAGACGAAUGUUGUCGUCCCUGAGCGAAUCAAAUAGUUGUUUGAAACCAUCGUUUCCGACACGGGGACAACCGAACACAAAGGCGGUCACCAUGAACGGCGCCUUGCUUAUGGUGGGCUUGUUGCAUCUAUUGGCAACUAUGUCCAUUGCGGUCAAUGUUGCUAAUGCUCCACCUAAGCUAAACCCUGUGACCUUUAUGCUUAGUUCUUCAUCUCUGUACUUGUCCACUAGUUUGUUUACAGCAAUUAGGACCUGCAGAAGGGCAAGAAAUGGAUUAGAAUUUUGAAUUACUCGAGUUAGUCUGCUCAAUUUGAAACUUUUUCAAAUCAAA